This 74-nucleotide transfer RNA is filed under the name Caldilineaceae bacterium. RNAcentral describes it as "tRNA-Val". It matches the Rfam family "tRNA". Rfam says of the family: Transfer RNA (tRNA) molecules are approximately 80 nucleotides in length. Their secondary structure includes four short double-helical elements and three loops (D, anti-codon, and T loops). Further hydrogen bonds mediate the characteristic L-shaped molecular structure. tRNAs have two regions of fundamental functional importance: the anti-codon, which is responsible for specific mRNA codon recognition, and the 3' end, to which the tRNAs corresponding amino acid is attached (by aminoacyl-tRNA synthetases). tRNAs cope with the degeneracy of the genetic code in two manners: having more than one tRNA (with a specific anti-codon) for a particular amino acid; and 'wobble' base-pairing, i.e. permitting non-standard base-pairing at the 3rd anti-codon position. Lineage: Bacteria; Bacillati; Chloroflexota; Caldilineae; Caldilineales; Caldilineaceae. The record is from RNAcentral.
GCCCCCGUAGCUCAAUGGAAAGAGCGUCCAACUUACGACUGGAGAGGUUACAGGUUCAAAUCCUGCCGGGGGUA